UACGAGGGGGGCAAGCGUUGUUCGGAAUUAUUGGGCGUAAAGGGCGCGUAGGCGGCCCGCUAAGUCGAACGUGAAAUCCCUGGGCUCAACCCAGGAACUGCGUCCGAUACUGGCAGGCUUGAAUCCGGGAGAGGGAUGUGGAAUUCCAGGUGUAGCGGUGAAAUGCGUAGAUAUCUGGAGGAACACCGGUGGCGAAGGCGGCAUCCUGGACCGGUAUUGACGCUGAUGCGCGAAAGCCAGGGGAGCAAACGGG
This 253-nucleotide ribosomal RNA is filed under the name uncultured bacterium. RNAcentral describes it as "partial 16S ribosomal RNA". It matches the Rfam family "Bacterial small subunit ribosomal RNA", at positions 524 to 776 of the family's 1533-position model. The record is from RNAcentral.